CCGGCUUCUCCCAGCAGUGAAUGCACCGAGGUACAGGGAAGCCCCGUGAGACCUCCUGCCUGGCAGAGGCAGUCCGUCCUCCGUGAGAGAAGCAUACAGAUAGAGGUGAUGAGGGAUCCCUGAGGGCAACGUAUCUAUGUCCAUUCCUAUGGCAGGAAGGUGUGCAGUGUUCCGGAAGCAUUCUGAAGCCACAAGCCCCAUGAGCAUAACCACAUGGAUUUCAUUCCUGGUGGACCUAAAAUCUGAGAGCCGUGGCUGUGGAGAGAAACUGCUACUUGGGAAUAAAAAUAGCCAGGCCACUUGCUCUGCUCCUGCUCUAUCUUCAAGUGGAAUUCCCUACAAAAUGCAGCUCCAGGAAGGAGCAAUCAACAGGGCAGAUGUGAUACCUACCAUCCUCAUAGGAUGUAGAAGUGGAGCUCAUAGAGUCAUUUAUGUUGGCAAAGACCUUCAAGAUCACCAGGAAUAA
RNAcentral lists this long non-coding RNA (466 nucleotides) under Numida meleagris (helmeted guineafowl). Its description in RNAcentral is "lncRNA (ENSNMEG00000019690.1)". Lineage: Eukaryota; Metazoa; Chordata; Aves; Galliformes; Numididae. The record is from RNAcentral.